This 236-nucleotide long non-coding RNA is filed under the name Elaeis guineensis (African oil palm). Its description in RNAcentral is "long non-coding RNA (EGUI_LNC007481)". The record is from RNAcentral. Lineage: Eukaryota; Viridiplantae; Streptophyta; Magnoliopsida; Arecales; Arecaceae.
AAAAAAAAACUUAUGGUUUAGGGGUGUAUUCUAUUGCUCUAGGUAUAGGCGCAUGAAAAAAUUGUCUACUUGAAUUCAUCUGUGAGAGAAUCUUUUCUAUUAUAGGGAUAUUUAGUUUGUAACUGAAAUAGAAAUUGAAAUGGAAAUCGGAAUCAGAAUGAUCAAAUCUUCCAAAGUAUUUGAUUCAUUGUUAGAAUUAGAAUUUAAAUAAAAAUUUAAAUUUUUAAGAAAGAAUG